UAGGAGACGUCAUCCACGAGGCAACGCUCACCAUGGGCUUCUUCCUGGACCACCACUCUAGGCUGGUGGUGGUGGUGGUAGUGGUGUUAGCUGCGGCACAGCACCUCGCAACGGCAUCACCGAAGGAACACAAUGCAAACCUGGUUGAAUGUGGCGAUGGGGAAUCAACAGGAGUGUGUAUGGCGAAGGGCAUCUGCACACAACCUUUCCCGUCCCCACGUCUCCCCUGCCCCGGUAGCCAAGACUGCUGUGAAAAUCCUACUAUCAACGAAAGGUAUAAGAGAGCGGCGUCGCAAACAGUAAAAGAAAACGAAAAGAAGGAUAAUAAGAAAAAGAAAGAUAUGGCAAAGAAGAAAAAUGAUGGGAAGAAGCGCAAAAAGAGUAGCAAGAAGAGUCAAAAGGGGAUAAUCAAUAAAAGCAAGAAAAAGAAAGCAAGUCAAAAGAAAUCAAACAAAAA
Long non-coding RNA from Portunus trituberculatus (swimming crab), 457 nucleotides. RefSeq lists it as uncharacterized. The transcript has 3 exons. Lineage: Eukaryota; Metazoa; Arthropoda; Malacostraca; Decapoda; Portunidae. The record is from RefSeq and is a predicted model, not a curated record.